This 1609-nucleotide long non-coding RNA is filed under the name Triticum aestivum (bread wheat). RNAcentral's name for it is "long non-coding RNA (TAES_LNC010068)". The record is from RNAcentral. Lineage: Eukaryota; Viridiplantae; Streptophyta; Magnoliopsida; Poales; Poaceae.
ACAUCAUCACAAACACCAUGCAGAGAGAGUUUUUUUGUCUAAUUAGAUAAUUAAUGACAUACAUGAACAGAUACACUGGGUGAACUAUGUGGUCAUCACCCCUCUGUCUAAUACUCAUCGCAAGCACCAAAAUAAAUUAUAUUGAGUCUAGUUUUGUAUAGAAAGCCCAACUGAUGAUGCUAGCAUAACUUCCAAAAGUCAGUCUUGACAGGUACUCCCAUACUACUAACCUGAAAGAAAUGAAAAAAAGAUUACUAAAAUUAUGAAGCAAACAAUUAAGCAAAAGAGAAGUUUUCUCCAACCAGAUUUUUUUUCCUUCUAAUUACCAACAGAGAAUUAAUUAUGUCCUUGUUAAGCCCAACUGGUGAAGGGAGUAUAACUUCCAAAAACCAGUGUUGGCAGGAACUCCUAAACUACUAACCUGAAAAAAGCAUAUCCAUAUAGAGAUGAGAGCCGAAAAACCUUUAGCCAAAAUCGGUAGCAAAAAGAAAAUCCAUAUAGAGAUGGCAAGUGGAAGUUCUUUAUAAUGGGAGUCGGGAAAAAAUCCGAGUAUUUGGUGACUAAAUUAGCUACAGAAUAUGACCAAGCUACCACAUUAAUGUAUGCCUAAAGAAUACAUCUAAAAACAAAGGAUGAUGAAGUCAAGUGUGACAUACAUAUCACAUAUCGAUACCUAAUAUCUUAUUAUCAGAAUGCAUCCCAAUCCAUGAUGAUCCUAGCAACAUCUCCAAAAUGGCAAUCCUGUGUGGAUAGUAUAUACAUACUCACUUCACAGUGCAAUUUACUGUAUAUUUAAUAUCAUGUGUUCAACAUAUAGUACCCUAUAAGGCUAACAAAUCUACAUUACAUUUCUUUAGUACAAGAGCAGAUUUUGCGAAGCUUCUAAAAGAAAUUGAUAAUGCCUCAAUGGCUGAGCGCCCUACUUUAGGCAAACUUGUUCAAAGAAUUAAAAAUGAUUCAUUUUAUUUUUAGGAGAGAGAAAACUAUCACAAAAGGAACAAUAAAUACCUGAGAAUAAUUUAGUAGUAAAAUAGUUAUCAAGAUGUACCAUUUCCUCUGCAUGUCAGCUAUUCAGCACAUCAUGUGUUUAUUUGUUUAAAAACCAUGUGAAAUUAAACCACAAUUACUUCCAUCGAGAAAAACGGAACACAAAACGUAAUGGAGAGAUUAAGAAUAAAUAUACCAUGUCAUAUUAAAGAUGCAGGUUCCGAAUUCCUUGCACAUUCACACAAGGAGCUGGACCCCCAAAUUUGUGUCCUCGGCAUAGACAUGCACGCAAUGCCUGAACAUUCUUCUUAGAUUAGGAAUUUGUAGCAUAUGCACCCAACUUUAGAUCUAAUGAAAUUCUAGUACUAAUAACUUGUCUACUCGUACAAGGAAACCACACACACCAGAGGAGAGGAAAGGGAGAUGAAGGGGACCUAUUGCCGGGGCCGAAGUUGGGGAAGACCGAGGGGAGUCGAUUAGGAUGGAGAGCGGCAGGGCAGCGAGCUAUCCAGCGCCAACUGCGGGCGUGCCACCUUGGACCAUGGGAAGGCCACCACCAUGUAUCCGCCUUGGAGGCCAGGGACAGAGCCGGAGCCGAGGAAGAUCCAUGAGAAGAUGAUGG